RNAcentral lists this ribosomal RNA (1394 nucleotides) under metagenome. RNAcentral's name for it is "bacterial SSU rRNA". It matches the Rfam family "Bacterial small subunit ribosomal RNA". The record is from RNAcentral.
AGAGUUUGAUCCUGGCUCAGAUUGAACGCUGGCGGCAUGGCUAAAACAUGCAAGUCGCACGAGAAGCCCCUUCGGGGGUGGACAGUGGCGAAAGGGCGAGUAAUGCAAUCGUACGUACCCCAAGGUGGGGGAUAGCCGGUGGAAACGCCGAGUAAUACCCCAUGUGCUCUACGGAGGAAAGCUUCGGCGCCUCGGGAGCGGCGAUUGUCCUAUCAGGUUGUUGGUGAGGUAAAGGCUCACCAAGCCGAAGACGGGUAGCGGGUGUGAGAGCAUGACCCGCCGCAUCGGGACUGAGACACUGCCCGGACUCCUACGGGAGGCUGCAGUAACGAAUAUUCCGCAAUGGGCGAAAGCCUGACGGAGCAAUGCCGCGUGUAGGAUGAAUCGGCUUCGCCGUGUAAACUACUGUCAGGGUGUAGGAACACUGACCGCACCCAAAGGAAGGACCGGCUAAUUCCGUGCCAGCAGCCGCGGUAAUACGGAAGGUCCAAGCGUUAAUCGGAAUCACUGGGCUUAAAGCGUGCGCAGGCGGUCCGGCAGGCAUCUCGUGAAAUCCCACGGCUCAACCGUGGAACUGCGGGGUGAACCGCCGGACUUGAGGAAGGUAGGGGCCAACGGAACGAUGGGUGGAGCGGUGAAAUGCGUAGAUAUCCAUCGGAACGCCAAAGGCGAAGGCAGUUGGCUGGGCCUUUCCUGACGCUCAGGCACGAAAGCGUGGGUAGCGAACGGGAUUAGAUACCCCGGUAGUCCACGCCGUAAACGAUGCGCACUAGGUCGCGGGAGCUCUCACGCUUUCGCGGCCGAAGUAAAAACGUUAAGUGCGCCGCCUGGGGAGUACGGUCGCAAGACUAAAACUCAAAGGAAUUGACGGGGGCUCACACAAGCGGUGGAGCAUGUUGCUUAAUUCGAGACAACGCGAAGAACCUUACCUGGGUUUGACAUGCACGGAUUAACCUUCCGAAAAGAAGGCCACGCCCUUUGGGUGGAACGUGCACAGGUGCUGCAUGGCUGUCGUCAGCUCGUGCUGUGAAGUGUCGGGUUAAGUCCCUUAACGAGCGCAACCCCUAUCGUUAGUUGCUAACACGUAAUGGUGAGUACUCUAGCGAGACUGCCGGUGUCAAACCGGAGGAAGGUGGGGAUGACGUCAAGUCCUCAUGGCCCUUACGUCCAGGGUUGCAAACGUGCUACAAUGGCGUGGACAGAGCGACGCAAUAUCGCGAGAUGGAGCAAAUCGCAGAAACCACGCCUCAGUUCGGAUAGCAGGCUGCAAUUCGCCUGCUUGAAGCUGGAAUCGCUAGUAAUCGCAGAUCAGCUACGCUGCGGUGAAUACGUUCCUGAGCCUUGUACACACCGCCCGUCAAGUCAUGGAAGCUGGUAGCGCCCGAAGUCGCCUC